GUCUAUGGUCAUGCCACCCUGAACGUGCCCGAUCUCAGCUGAUCUCGGAAGCUAAGCAGGGUCAGGCCUGGUUAGUAUUUGGAUGGGAGACCUCCUAGGAAUACCGAGUGCUGUAGGCA
Molecule: ribosomal RNA, 119 nt
Filed under: Pteropus alecto (black flying fox)
Lineage: Eukaryota; Metazoa; Chordata; Mammalia; Chiroptera; Pteropodidae
Source: RNAcentral